AGAGGGACCGCCAGGAAGAGGACACCCAGCAGCAUCGUGCGCUUCUCCUCUUAUGAAGGAAAAUAAAAAACACGAAACUGCAGGAUGCCAAGAGGCUGUUCCCUCCUGAGGGUGUUGCAGGAUCAGAUCAUGCGGAGGAGUAUAAGAGGAGGGAGCUGCCAAUACUUCAGCUCCAGAGCGUUAGCCAGUAUUCGAUUAUUUCUCGUGACUCUGUGGAUGUUACCCACUGGUUGCCCGAGUUCCACUGACACCUCCACAGUAAACCAAACCUCCUUGGAUUACCCUGCUAGCAGCCUCACUUGCUCCUGUGAUCCAAAGCUUAGCUGUCCGCCCUCCACCGCAGCCUUUUUGUCGGUCAAGCAGCAACUCUCCACCCGAACCAAAUCCCGGUAACCACAGUGAUUCUUCCCCCCGGAGAAGACUUACCUCCACCUAAUUCUCCGGUGAUCCAGAUUGCAGACUUUCCCCAGAACCCGAUUGUUGAUCAUUAUUUUGUGUUUACAAUAAACUUAUUUAACUGAUUUCUGUUCUCCGC
Long non-coding RNA from Poecilia reticulata (guppy), 535 nucleotides. RefSeq lists it as uncharacterized. Lineage: Eukaryota; Metazoa; Chordata; Actinopteri; Cyprinodontiformes; Poeciliidae. The record is from RefSeq and is a predicted model, not a curated record.